GGUUAAGCGACUAAGCGUACACGGUGGAUGCCCUGGCAGUCAGAGGCGAUGAAGGACGUGCUAAUCUGCGAAAAGCGUCGGUAAGGUGAUAUGAACCGUUAUAACCGGCGAUGUCCGAAUGGGGAAACCCAGUGCAAUUCGUUGCACUAUCGUUAACUGAAUACAUAGGUUAACGAGGCGAACCGGGGGAACUGAAACAUCUAAGUACCCCGAGGAAAAGAAAUCAACCGAGAUUCCCCCAGUAGCGGCGAGCGAACGGGGAGCAGCCCAGAGUCUGAAUCAGCUUGUGUGUUAGUGGAACGGUCUGGAAAGUCCGACGGUACAGGGUGAUAGUCCCGUACACCAAAAUGCACAGGUUGUGAACUCGAAGAGUAGGGCGGGACACGUGGUAUCCUGUCUGAAUAUGGGGGGACCAUCCUCCAAGGCUAAAUACUCCUGACUGACCGAUAGUGAACCAGUACCGUGAGGGAAAGGCGAAAAGAACCCCGGCGAGGGGAGUGAAAAAGAACCUGAAACCGUGUACGUACAAGCAGUGGGAGCACCUUCGGGUGUGACUGCGUACCUUUUGUAUAAUGGGUCAGCGACUUAUAUUCUGUAGCAAGGUUAACCGUAUAGGGGAGCCGCAGGGAAACCGAGUCUUAACUGGGCGUUAAGUUGCAGGGUAUAGACCCGAAACCCGGUGAUCUAGCCAUGGGCAGGUUGAAGGUUGGGUAACACUAACUGGAGGACCGAACCGACUAAUGUUGAAAAAUUAGCGGAUGACUUGUGGCUGGGGGUGAAAGGCCAAUCAAACCGGGAGAUAGCUGGUUCUCCCCGAAAGCUAUUUAGGUAGCGCCUCGUGAAUUCAUCUUCGGGGGUAGAGCACUGUUUCGGCUAGGGGGUCAUCCCGACUUACCAACCCGAUGCAAACUACGAAUACCGAAGAAUGUUAUCACGGGAGACACACGGCGGGUGCUAACGUCCGUCGUGAAGAGGGAAACAACCCAGACCGCCAGCUAAGGUCCCAAAGUCAUGGUUAAGUGGGAAACGAUGUGGGAAGGCACAGACAGCCAGGAUGUUGGCUUAGAAGCAGCCAUCAUUUAAAGAAAGCGUAAUAGCUCACUGGUCGAGUCGGCCUGCGCGGAAGAUGUAACGGGGCUAAACCAUGCACCGAAGCUGCGGCAGCGACACUAUGUGUUGUUGGGUAGGGGAGCGUUCUGUAAGCCUGCGAAGGUGACCUGUGAGGGUUGCUGGAGGUAUCAGAAGUGCGAAUGCUGACAUAAGUAACGAUAAAGCGGGUGAAAAGCCCGCUCGCCGGAAGACCAAGGGUUCCUGUCCAACGUUAAUCGGGGCAGGGUGAGUCGACCCCUAAGGCGAGGCCGAAAGGCGUAGUCGAUGGGAAACAGGUUAAUAUUCCUGUACUUGGUGUUACUGCGAAGGGGGGACGGAGAAGGCUAUGUUAGCCGGGCGACGGUUGUCCCGGUUUAAGCAUGUAGGCUGAUUGUCCAGGCAAAUCCGGAUAAUCAAGGCUGAGGUGUGAUGACGAGGCACUACGGUGCUGAAGUAACAAAUGCCCUGCUUCCAGGAAAAGCCUCUAAGCAUCAGGUAACAUCAAAUCGUACCCCAAACCGACACAGGUGGUCAGGUAGAGAAUACCAAGGCGCUUGAGAGAACUCGGGUGAAGGAACUAGGCAAAAUGGUGCCGUAACUUCGGGAGAAGGCACGCUGGUGUGUAGGUGAAGUCCCUGCGGAUGGAGCUGAGACCAGUCGAAGAUACCAGCUGGCUGCAACUGUUUAUUAAAAACACAGCACUGUGCAAACACGAAAGUGGACGUAUACGGUGUGACGCCUGCCCGGUGCCGGAAGGUUAAUUGAUGGGGUUAUCCGUAAGGAGAAGCUCUUGAUCGAAGCCCCGGUAAACGGCGGCCGUAACUAUAACGGUCCUAAGGUAGCGAAAUUCCUUGUCGGGUAAGUUCCGACCUGCACGAAUGGCGUAAUGAUGGCCAGGCUGUCUCCACCCGAGACUCAGUGAAAUUGAACUCGCUGUGAAGAUGCAGUGUACCCGCGGCAAGACGGAAAGACCCCGUGAACCUUUACUAUAGCUUGACACUGAACAUUGAGCCUUGAUGUGUAGGAUAGGUGGGAGGCUUUGAAGCGUGGACGCCAGUCUGCGUGGAGCCAACCUUGAAAUACCACCCUUUAAUGUUUGAUGUUCUAACGUUGGCCCCUGACCGGGGUUGCGGACAGUGUCUGGUGGGUAGUUUGACUGGGGCGGUCUCCUCCCAAAGCGUAACGGAGGAGCACGAAGGUUAGCUAAUCCUGGUCGGACAUCAGGAGGUUAGUGCAAUGGCAUAAGCUAGCUUGACUGCGAGCGUGACGGCGCGAGCAGGUGCGAAAGCAGGUCAUAGUGAUCCGGUGGUUCUGAAUGGAAGGGCCAUCGCUCAACGGAUAAAAGGUACUCCGGGGAUAACAGGCUGAUACCGCCCAAGAGUUCAUAUCGACGGCGGUGUUUGGCACCUCGAUGUCGGCUCAUCACAUCCUGGGGCUGAAGUAGGUCCCAAGGGUAUGGCUGUUCGCCAUUUAAAGUGGUACGCGAGCUGGGUUUAGAACGUCGUGAGACAGUUCGGUCCCUAUCUGCCGUGGGCGCUGGAGAAUUGAGGGGGGCUGCUCCUAGUACGAGAGGACCGGAGUGGACGCAUCACUGGUGUUCGGGUUGUCAUGCCAAUGGCACUGCCCGGUAGCUAAAUGCGGAAGAGAUAAGUGCUGAAAGCAUCUAAGCACGAAACUUGCCCCGAGAUGAGUUCUCCCUGAGACUUUAAGUCUCCUGAAGGAACGUUGAAGACGACGACGUUGAUAGGCCGGGUGUGUAAGCGCAGCGAUGCGUUGAGCUAACCGGUACUAAUGAACCGUGAGGCUUAACCUU
This 2902-nucleotide ribosomal RNA is filed under the name Klebsiella pneumoniae. Its description in RNAcentral is "23S ribosomal RNA". It matches the Rfam family "Bacterial large subunit ribosomal RNA". The record is from RNAcentral. RNAcentral also lists the same sequence under 1 other name. Lineage: Bacteria; Pseudomonadati; Pseudomonadota; Gammaproteobacteria; Enterobacterales; Enterobacteriaceae.